AUGUCAAUGAACAUUUAGGUUAUUUGCAGACAUACAGUUUACAAACACCGCUGCUGUGAACAUGUUUCCAAGUAUACAUGGAUGUAAGUUACUGCAGACUGUUUAUCUCUGUGUGAUUUUUCUGAGUCAUGGGAUAUGCUCAUUUUUGAUUCCAUAAAGCAAUGCCAAAUCAUUUUCCAAACUAGGUAUCCCAACUUAUUUUCCUAUCCAUGAUGCAUGAGUUAUCAUAGCUUCAUAUUCUUUUCAAUAUUCAUUGCUGUCUGACUUUUUAAUUUGUGCCCAUCUUUUGAAUCUGAUGGCAUCUGACAGAGGUUUGCAUUGUACUUUCUUCAUGGCCAAUAUGGUUGAACUUCUUUUCAUACACCAGUUGGCUACUGAGUUUCCUCUUCUGUGAAAUAACCUUGUAGUUAUUUCUGUUGUUUUAUUUCUGUUGUUUAUCUUUUGCUUGAUUUUCAGAGUUUUUUUCUUAAAAUAAAUUCUGAAGCCCUCUGCCACUUUGCUAGGGCUGGAGCAACAAGAAGACAUAAUUCCAUUUCCACCGUCUCUUUUUCUUCCAGUCCUCAAGGCUGCCAUUCUGCUUUAGUGCUCGCCUCAGCCCUGGUUGUGAAAGAUAACAGUAGUUAUGACAAUGUUUGAGCAGAUGAGAGUGAACAUGGCCAAGUUGCUCAAGGGUAUCGACAGGUACAAUUAAACUUGACCACCAUGGAGCACUAUGUAGAGACACAGGCCAAGGAGAAUGCCUAUGAUUGGGAAGCCAAUCUGGCUGUCUUAAAGCUAUACCAGUUCAACCCAGCCUUCUUCCAGACCACGGUCACUGCCCAGAUCUGCUGAAGGCCCUUACCAACCAGCCCCACAUCGACUUCACCCUGUGCAAGUGCAUGACUGACCAAGUGCAUCAAGAACGGCACAUCUGACAGACUUUAUAUCUGAGAGAUCUGCCACUUCUGGGCUUUCCGGCAAGCCCUGGGUGAAAACAUGGACCUCUUAGAAGGCAUAACUGGCUUUGAAGACUCUGUUUGAAAAUGUAUCUACCAUGUCGUGGGUAUUACCUACAAGCACGUUGACUACUAGCUGCUGACCGAAAUGCUUGGGGAUCUGUCAGACAACCAGCUGAAGAUGUGGAUGAGCAAAUAUGGCUGGAGCGCCGAUGAGUCAGGGCAGAUCUUUAUUUGUAGCCAGGAAGAAAGUAUUAAGCCCAAGAAGAUUAUAGAGAAGAUCGACUAUGACAGUGUGUCCAGCAUCAUGGCCUGCUCUCAGUAACUGCAGACAUUUAAUAAAGAUUUGUCGACU
Molecule: RNA transcript, 1290 nt
Organism: Nycticebus coucang (slow loris)
Lineage: Eukaryota; Metazoa; Chordata; Mammalia; Primates; Lorisidae
Gene name: eukaryotic translation initiation factor 3 subunit K-like
Exons: 1
Source: RefSeq, a predicted model, not a curated record